AUUGAACGCUGGCGGCAGGCCUAACACAUGCAAGUCGAGCGGAUGAAGGGAGCUUGCUCCUGGAUUCAGCGGCGGACGGGUGAGUAAUGCCUAGGAAUCUGCCUGGUAGUGGGGGAUAACGUCCGGAAACGGGCGCUAAUACCGCAUACGUCCUGAGGGAGAAAGUGGGGGAUCUUCGGACCUCACGCUAUCAGAUGAGCCUAGGUCGGAUUAGCUAGUUGGUGGGGUAAAGGCCUACCAAGGCGACGAUCCGUAACUGGUCUGAGAGGAUGAUCAGUCACAAUGGAACUGAGACACGGUCCAGACUCCAACGGGAGGCAGCAGUGGGGAAUAUUGGACAAAGGGCGAAAGCCUGAUCCAGCCAUGCAGCGUGUGUGAAGAAAGACUUCGGAUUGUAAAGCACUUUAAGAUGGGAGGAAGGGCAGUAAGUUAAUACCUUGCUGUUUUGACGUUACAAACAGAAUAAGCACCGGCUAACUUCGUG
This 484-nucleotide ribosomal RNA is filed under the name uncultured bacterium. RNAcentral describes it as "partial 16S ribosomal RNA". It matches the Rfam family "Bacterial small subunit ribosomal RNA", at positions 30 to 507 of the family's 1533-position model. The record is from RNAcentral.